GAUGAACGCUGGCGGCGUGCUUAACACAUGCAAGUCGAACGGAAAGGCCAGUGCUUGCACUGGUGCUCGAGUGGCGAACGGGUGAGUAACACGUGGGUGAUCUGCCCUGCACUUUGGGAUAAGCCUGGGAAACUGGGUCUAAUACCAGAUAGGACCAUGCUUUGGAUGGUGUGGUGGAAAGUUUUUUCGGUGUGGGAUGAGCUUGCGGCCUAUCAGCUUGUUGGUGGGGGAAUGGCCUACCAAGGCGUCGACGGGUAGCCGGCCUGAGAGGGUGUACGGCGACAUUGGGACUGCGAUACGGCCCAGACUCCUACGGGAGGCAGCAGUGGAGAAUAUUGCACAAUGGGCGCAAGCCUGAUGCGGCGACGCCGCGUGGGGGAUGACGGGCUUCGGGUUGUAAACUCCUUUCGCAACUGACGAAGCUUUUUGUGACGGUAGGUUGAGAAGAAGCACCGGCUAACUACGUG
RNAcentral lists this ribosomal RNA (467 nucleotides) under uncultured bacterium. Its description in RNAcentral is "partial 16S ribosomal RNA". It matches the Rfam family "Bacterial small subunit ribosomal RNA", at positions 28 to 507 of the family's 1533-position model. The record is from RNAcentral.